Molecule: long non-coding RNA, 474 nt
Organism: Piliocolobus tephrosceles (Ugandan red Colobus)
Lineage: Eukaryota; Metazoa; Chordata; Mammalia; Primates; Cercopithecidae
Exons: 2
Source: RefSeq, a predicted model, not a curated record
AACUCCUGACCUCAAGUGAUCCACUUGCCUCGGCCUCCCAAAGUACUGGGAUUACAGGCAUCAGCCACUGCACCUGGCCAAUAACAGCACUUUUUAUAAUAGCCACAAGGUGGAAGCAAUCCAAAUGGGCAUCAAUUGAUGGAUGAGUAUAAACAAAUAUCCACACAGUGGAAUAUUAUUCAGCCUUAAAAAUAGGUAUAACAUACUGACACAGGCUACAACAUAGAUUAACCUUGGAAACAUGCUAAUGUUUCCUAUGCCUAUGAUUCCAUUUCUGUUAAAUGUAUUUUGUAGAAUAGACAAAUCCAUAGAGACAGAAACUAGAUUAAUGGUUGCCAAGUUCUAGGAGUGGGGGAAUAAGGAAUGACUGCCAAGGGUUACAGGGUUUCUUUAGGGGAUGAUGAAAUGUUCUGGAAUUACAUAGGUUGUUUGUACAACCUUGUGAAUAUAUUAAACAUAUUAAAAACCAUUGAA